Molecule: ribosomal RNA, 308 nt
Filed under: uncultured bacterium
Lineage: Bacteria
Description: bacterial SSU rRNA
Rfam family: Bacterial small subunit ribosomal RNA
Source: RNAcentral
GAUGAACGCUAGCUACAGGCUUAACACAUGCAAGUCGAGGGGAAACGAUAGAGAAAGCUUGCUUUUUCUAGGCGUCGACCGGCGCACGGGUGAGUAACACGUAUCCAACCUGCCCAUCACUUGGGGAUAACCUUGUGAAAGUAAGACUAAUACCCAAUGACGUCUCUAGAAGACAUCUGAAAGAGAUUAAAGAUUUAUCGGUGAUGGAUGGGGAUGCGUCUGAUUAGCUUGUUGGCGGGUAACGGCCCACCAAGGCGACGAUCAGUAGGGGUUCUGAGAGGAAGGUCCCCCACAUUGGAACUGAGACA